Molecule: ribosomal RNA, 200 nt
Filed under: uncultured bacterium
Lineage: Bacteria
Description: partial 16S ribosomal RNA
Rfam family: Bacterial small subunit ribosomal RNA
Source: RNAcentral
AUUGAACGCUGGCGGCAGGCCUAACACAUGCAAGUCGAGCGGGGUUUUCGGACCUAGCGGCGGACGGGUGAGUAAUGCGUAGGAAGCUGCCCGAUAGAGGGGGAUACCAGUUGGAAACGACUGUUAAUACCGCAUAAUGUCUACGGACCAAAGUGUGGGACCUUCGGGCCACAUGCUAUCGGAUGCGCCUACGUGGGGUU